GUUCUUUUAGUCUAAUGCUUAGUUUAAUAUCUAGAAGGAUAUUGCCAUUUAUGGUAAAGGUACGGGUUCAAGUCCCGUAAAGGACU
RNAcentral lists this transfer RNA (86 nucleotides) under Laminaria rodriguezii. RNAcentral's name for it is "tRNA-Ser". It matches the Rfam family "tRNA". Rfam says of the family: Transfer RNA (tRNA) molecules are approximately 80 nucleotides in length. Lineage: Eukaryota; Phaeophyceae; Laminariales; Laminariaceae. The record is from RNAcentral.